GAGCAUGUGGUUUAAUUCGAUGUAAAGUGAAGAACCUUACCAAGGCUUAGCAUGCCGCGAAUCCUCUUGAAAGAGAGGGGUGCCUUCGGGAACGCGGACACAGGUGGUGCAUGGCUGUCGUCGCUCAUGCCGUAAGGUGUUGGGUUAAGUCCCGCAACGAGUGCAACCCUCAUGUUUAGUUGCCAACAUUUAGUUUGGAACCCAUGGCCGGUGAAAAGCCGGAUUGAAAUUAAUCAUUCUCAUUCUCACAUAAGAUAUGUAUUCUC
Glycine max (soybean) is the source of this 266-nucleotide non-coding RNA. The record is from Rfam. NCBI's taxonomy places the organism in Eukaryota, Viridiplantae, Streptophyta, Magnoliopsida, Fabales, Fabaceae.